UGUAUAUAAGCAAUGCCUUUCUGCUCAAUAAACCAGACUUCUUACCCUCAACUCGCAGCCUCAACUCGUGUUGUAGGGAAUUGCUGAUCACUAGCUCUGCUCAGAGCUCCAGGAAUACUUGCAGGAAGAGGUGCUAAAUUGGAACUUUCUACCGCUCUCCAGGAUCGGGGACAAGGACAUCCAAGCGGUCCAACCCUCAGCUAGCCUGAGGCAACCGUAACA
This is a non-coding RNA of Pelobates cultripes (western spadefoot toad), 222 nucleotides long. NCBI's taxonomy places the organism in Eukaryota, Metazoa, Chordata, Amphibia, Anura, Pelobatidae. The record is from the annotation of a GenBank genome assembly.